GCGGGGCGGCCGAGGGGGCGGCGGGGGAGUGGCGAGCCGCGGAAGCCGGGUCAUGGCAGCGCCGGAAGAACCGUGCGGCGGCCGGGCCGGCGGGGAGCCAGGCCGGGACGCGGCCGGUUUGAGCGGUGCCCGCGGGAGGCGGUGGCGGGACCGCGCGGCCGCCGCCAUGUUCCGCUGUGGGGAGGAGAUCAUAAGUGGGGAGAGUGAGGAAGAAAGUAAUGGCGUCAACUUGAUGGAGUUCUCAGAUGAGAUCCUUUUGCACAUCCUCAGCUACGUCCCUUGCACAGACCUUGUCCUGAACGUCAGGAGAACCUGCAGGAAGCUAGCAAUGCUUUGCCUUGACAAGAGUCUAACACAUACAGUUUUACUUCAAAAAGACUAUAAGGUAAACAAAGACAAAGUGAAGCAGCUGAUGAGGGAUAUCGGAAAAGAGAUUUACCAGCUGAACAUGGCUGGGUGCUAUUGGCUGCCCAGCUCCACUAUUGAUCACGUAACGCGAUGCAAGAACCUGGUAAAACUGAAUUUGUCUGGGUGCCACAUCACCUCGCUCCGUCUCUCAAAGAUGCUGUCCACGCUCCAGCACCUGCGCUCCCUGGCAAUAGAUGUAAAUCCGGGUUUCGAUGCCAGUCAGCUAAGCAGUGAGUGUAAAGCCACUCUUAGCCGUGUCUUGGAAUUGAAGCAAACCCUUUACACGCCGUCAUAUGGUGUCGUUCCGUGCUGCACUAGCCUUGAGAAACUGCUGCUUUAUUUUGAGAUCCUUGAUCGCUCACGAGAAGGCUUUAUGCUCUCUGGGCAGCUAAUGGUAGGUGAGAGCAAUGUACCCCAUUACCAGAACCUCCGUGUCUUCUAUGCCAGGCUGGCUCCUGGCUAUGUUAAUCAGGAGGUGGUGAGGCUGUACUUGGCGGUGUUAAGUGAUCGGACACCUGAGAACCUUCAUGCCUUCCUUAUUUCUGCCCCUGGUAGCUUUGCGGAGACGGGAGCCACUAAAAACCUCCUAGACUCUAUGGCUCGAAAUGUACGUCUGGAUGCUUUACAAUUGCCCAAAGCCUGGAUUAAUGGCUCUGGGCUCCUGCAACACUUGAAGUUCAACAACCCUUUCUACUUCAGCUUUAGCCGAUGCACCUUAUCUGGUGGUCACCUGAUCCAGAGGGUUAUUAAUGGUGGGAAGGAUCUUAAAAGCUUGACCAGCUUGAAUCUCAGUGGCUGCAUUCACUGUUUGGCUCCGGAAUCCUUGUUUCGAAAAGCAGAAGAUGACAUUGACAGUAGCAUUCUGGAAAGCCUGGUCAUGUCUUGCUGCAACCUGAGACACCUCAACCUCUCUGCAGCUCACCAUCACAGCUCGGAAAGCAUAGGGAAUCACUUGUGCCAGCUUCUGUCCAGGCUAAAGCACCUGCUCUCGUUAGCGCUACCGGUUUGCUCCAUCACAGAUGUUGCUGCAAAUGUGGAAAAGCCUCCCACGGCAUCUAAUUUGGUGCCCCAAACAUUUGGAAGGAAAGUUCGGAUUGGGAUACAGACGUAUCCAAGGAACUUAGUGGAUCAGGGAAAUCAGAAGCUGGAGUCUUCUGUAUUCUGGGCUUUGAUGGGAAGCCUCCGCUUUUUGGAAACCUUGGAAAUAAUUGGUUCCAGUUUCUCCUCUGCCAUGCCACGCAAUGAGCCAGCAAUUCGGAACUCGUUGCCUCCUUGUGUCCGGGCACAAAGUGUGGGGGAUUCAGAGGUGGCUGCCAUAAGCCAAUUGACUUACUUGCAUAGCCUCACCUUAGCACAACUGCCAAAUAUUCUUACCGGCUCUGGGCUUAUUAACAUUGGAUUGCAGUGCCAGCAUUUGCGGACUCUUUCAUUGGCCAACCUGGGCAUGAUGGGGAAAGUGGUCUAUAUGUCUGCUCUCAUGGACAUGCUGAAACACUGCAAGUGUUUGAGAGAUCUCAGGCUGGAACAGCCGUACUUCUGUGCGGGCGCCCAGUUCUUCCAGGCACUGAGUCAUUGCUCCUCUCUCCAGCGGCUUUGCAUCGUCUCCCGGAGUGGGACUCUGCAGUCUGACGCAGUGAUGUCAUUCAUGGCCAACUGCCUUGAGGUCAUCAUGUGCCACAUGUUUAUGGGAGAAUCUCUUACCGUUUGCAAAAAUCUCCAGCAAUCUAUUGUCCGGAGGAAAUGCUUCUCCUCCAUGGGCCUUGGAGCACGCCACUGCUGAGCCGUGUUGCUGUGGGACAGAACAACAGUUAUCCCAGGGGUGCCGGAUAGUGAUCUGUGGGGAACCCGGGCUUCAGGUACUUGCAACGUCUACUUUGGCUUUACAAAAUCCACAAAACAAACAUGCAAGAGGAGCAGCUUGGUGGAAAAUGGUGCAGCUCAUGUACCCACAGGAUUAAAUCAACUCACCCCAGGUAUCGCCUCCUUUCCCCAGGCUUUUCCUCAGCCCAGCAAUGGCUUGUCUGAAUAAUUCAACUAAAAAUUCAGCAUCGCAAAUAAAUACGGGAUAAUUGCUAACAGCUCGCAGACAAUCCGCUGCCAGAGGAAGGCUAAACUCCUGGUGAAUUAUUUAUCCACUAUGAAUUAUUCACUUGGCCCUGUUACAGAAGAAAAGCUCCUUCCCAACCUUUGCCUGCCAAAUGGCCUGGCUGGGGGUGACUCUCCUGGUGCUGACUCAGCCCUUUCCCGUGGCUCCCGCUGCCUGCCUGCAUCGCUCCACAGGGAAGCGGCUCUGGGGAGCUGACACCUGCCUUGUGCAGUUCCUCAGCUCCUCCAAGGACCCACAAGUGUGGGGCAGAGGAGCCUGCGUGCCAAGCCCUGGGGUGGUCAGGACCUGACCCCUCUUUUUUGACUGCACCGAAGCUGUUUUGCUUCCCUGCGUGUGGCCAAGCCCCAGUGUGAGUCCCGCCAGGAGGUGAAGGCAUCUUUCUGAUGGGGCAGGAGUCCCACGGAAGCAGCCUGCCGGCGGAAUCGUUACCCCUGUUACAGCCCCUGCCUGCACCUUUGGGAGAAGGUCUGGAAAGCAUCAAGUCCUGGGGAAAAAAGCAGCUUGGCUCCAGAGCACUGCGGCUGACGGCGGAGCCGGUCCCUGUCCUCAGGUGGUAACACCAAGGAGGGUCUGCGUUUCGGUGUCUGGUGUCACAUAUGGUGCCACUGAGUGUCUUCAGUGCAUGGAGAAGUUCUGAGCAAGCAUCUCUCUUUCAGGGGGGGCGACAUGGGAGUACCCCAAGGCAGCUCCAGCCAUGCUGCUGGGUGCCUGGCUGGCUCCUAAAGCUUUGGGUCACACCUGCAUCCUUCAGGGCAGGUACGAGGGUCUGACUCCCAAACCAUCCUCUGGCUGCAGAAAUACGUCUCUCCAUGGCAAUCGCACGCUGCCUUGCGAUGUGAGCUUGAGUGGCUCUGCCUGGGGGAGAUGGAAGGGGCUCCCGGGGUGCUCUUCCCACCUAAAGCCCUGGGAAGAGCAGUCGGUGUGGGGAUGGAGUCGGAAUGGGGAUGCAGGCUGGAGGUUUCCUGUGGGAUGCUCACUGGCUGAAAGGCAGUAACGCUGUGGGACGGUCCGUGCUGAUGUCUCCCAGCCCGCUCCGCAGCGAGGGCCGGGUGCUGGGAGCUCUGCCCGGGCCACGGGUGAUGGUCUCUGUGAAGCAGAACUCAUGGGCAUCCCUCCCCCAGAAGAGAUAGAAGUUGCCCUCAGAGGUGAGGAGCUGCCAGCCUGUGCUCAUCAAUCUCCAUUUGCAUCAAAAAUAAGGAAAAAUAGAAGAUUUAGGUGAGAGAUCAAUAUUCUAAGAGCCUGGUGGUUUUUUGUUCUGGGUUUUUUUUUCUGGUGCUCUUCUGGGGGUGGGAAACUCGAGGCAGGUACCGGGAAUAAAUCCUCCCAGCUACCUUGAUGUAAAUCAGGAGGAAGAUGAUGGAUUUAUGGGAGUCGCGCCUGAUUUAUGCUCCUGUGUCUGGUUCCUGCAGGUCGGCGUGUGCCCCUGGGGAGGCCAAGUGCCGGAUGGGGACUGGAGCCACCACCGCGCAUCCUGCUGCAGCCGAGGUGGGACUGAGGCUGGGGGGCGGGGGGCGGGGUGAGUUUGCUUUGCGUUUUAAGCCCAGUUCGGGGCACUCAGGUAUUUUUGUUUUGCCUCUUUCUGCUGGUGGUCAGCAAAGCACGUCUGCUCAGACACCAGUCCCAAGGCAUGGUGAUGCCCUGCUGCGGGCGGACUGUCUGACUCGGUGGAGAAAAAGGCUUUCGAGUCGCUCCCAGUGAUGCUCUCCCCCUCCAUCCCUCUCCUCUCCCAUCCUGAGAGCUGGGGAGGACUGGCUGCUGGCAGGGUUGGUGUCUCCAUGGAAGAGGGAAAGGCUCUUCCUCGGGAAAGUCCUUCUUUGAGGGCUCUGAAAGGCCCCGGGGUGGUGAUGGGGGGGCUUGUCCCGGCCCUGGGGCUCCCCUCUCCGAAGAGUCCGGGUUCCCAGCCAUGACGGGGCUGGAGCCGGUGCAGGGGAGCUGUUGUUAUUCCUCUCAUGCAGCAGGAAGGAUUUCUGCGAGUGCCAUAAACCCAUCACGUGGGCAGAGCCUGGGUGAGCUCUAAUUGCUUCUAUUUGCAUAAUGAGGCGAGGCUCAGCAUCCUGCUGAUAUUUGAAAGAAGAAAAUCAAAAUCAGCUCUAGAUAAACAACUCUUUCCCCCCCCCCCCCCCCCAGUCCCUACCCCCACUCCUAAUUUGCACAUUUUCUCCCUUAAUGCAGGUUUUUCAGCUCUUCGGUCUCCUCUGGAGCACCACAGCCCCCCUGGGACCCCUGCCCAGGGAGCAUGGGUGCUGGAUGCUGGGGGGGUGCUGCCCCCCGCCCCCCCCCCCGGCUGCCGUGGUCUGGGGGCUUUGCCUGGAGCUGGUGGUGGGGCAUGAGAUGUGGAGGUAUCUGAAUUGGAGCGGGAGAGGAUCGGGGUGGUCUUGGGGCUGGCAAUGUGGAGCUGCGGCUGGAGCCCCUGGGCUGCGUGCGGGAGCAGGACCUGGUCAGGGCUGUGCGGUGCCAGAGGGUCUGUGGCCAGCCCGGGCCUGGAGGGUUUCCUGAGCGAAAGCCCAGCAGAUGUCACCACAGCCCGAUGUCACCACAGCUUGGUGGCAGCUCAGCCUGUGUGGGGACCAUCCCGCCUGGGGACAUGGGCCAGCUGGGAUGCCGUCCUGCUCACAUGCCCCGUGCUGGCCCCGAGUGUCCUGCUGGCUUCUGGGGACCUGCCAGGGAUGGGAUGGGAUGGGACAGGACACAGGACCCUUCCUCACCUGCGAGCCUCUGGGGUGGCAGGAAGGGCCUUGCUUGCACCCCAGAUGUUGCUGGUUGGGGGGAUGCUCCUGCCCUGGGGCCCUCAGAGGACUUGGUAGAAGGUCCAGAAGGACCUGAAAAAGGGGGUGACAUCCACUGGCUGGGCUGUGUCCCCAGAUGCGCUGCUGCUCUGUAAGCCCUUUUUCCCAGUCACUCACAGCCCCAGAGACCAGUAGCAUCCCUGCUCCUCCUGUCCCCUCAGGUAGCCAAGGUCCUUCCCCAGCAGCCAAACCUGGGGGUCCCCUUGUCCCUGGGGGUCCCUCAGGCAUUGCCAAGACUCUCUCGGCACCCACAGCUUUUGGGAGCUGGAGGGGCUGUGCUGGCCGGGGUGCUGGGGGGUUUGCACCCUUCGCCCCAGGGAAGGAUGGUGACUUGCUCACUUGAGGCCAGGCAGCAGACACCAAGCAGAAAUGUGCUACGUCCAUUCCCCCAGGGACCGGGCAAAUGGACUCCUUCCUCCUCCUCUUCCUCCCCAGCAUGAGGGCUGGUAUCCUCUGAAUCCUUCGCUACCCUUUGGGGGAGAAGUGCUGACUCCAGAUGUUUCCCUAAAUGAGAACCUUCUGCAAACAGCACCAGUUUAUUUUCAUAUCGAAAGAAAAUGAAAGGGCUGUUGUGAUGGUGAUUAUUAACGUUUUUACAGCCCGUGUUUGUAGCGGGGGCUGCUAUGCCAGUGGGCAAGUGGAUAGACAGAUGGACGAGUGCCUGGGGAAGCCGUGUCCCCCCUCUACCCCCUGCUCUCUCUGGGUGCAUCAACGCUCUGGCUGGCUCCAUCUUAUCCCAGCCCUCCGGUGCCCCUGGUCUCCCUUCCCCAGCCCCGGUGGUCCAGGGAUGAGCUUGAGGGGACAGGACAGGACCAGGACCCCUGGGACCAGGGACUGUGGCUCAGCAGCACCAGGAGCAUGAAGCGCCUGUGCUCAGAGAUGUGUAAAGGGUAAAAGGACAGGGCUGAGAGAGGAAAUCUCUGUGCACGGGUGUUACUGAGGGCACACGCUUGUCUGAACAGCUCCCGUGCCCCCACCGGGGCUCCAGGUGUGAACGAUGAGCCCCAAAUUGCUGCUGUGGCCCAGGACCCUGCCUGGUGUGGAAGGGCAGCACCAGCCCCAUCCUCAGCCAGCUCCUGUUUCUGAUUGAGCUGAGUCUCUUGCUGGGAUGAUCUUGCUGCUCCCGUGGUCUCCUCCAAGGUGAGCAGUUUCCUCCCCCGACUCCCAUUUUGCUUGGGCUGCUAGUAAUACCCUAUGAGCUCAGACACCAUCAGCCCAAUACGAUGUAAUGUUUGCUUUUAAAACGGCAGAUCUCUGCUCCUCCAAAGCCACCAGUGUCCCACCUGCUGACCCCAGCCCACAGCCCGGCGCCUGCUCUCGUCCUUUUUGCUUUCCCAGCCCAUGGAUGCUCAGUGCCCUUCAGCCGGCCGCGGGGCUCGGAGGGCAGGGGGGCCCCAGCUGCCAGCACUUGCUGCUCGCUCGGCUCUCCUGCCCACGCCAAAGCCCUGGCCAGGGCUGCCGCCCCCAUCCACAUCCCCAACCGCAAAGGUCCCCCCUUCCCUGGGCCCUUGUGGUGUGCGAAACCCCCUCCUCCGGCCGGUGUGCCAAACAGGAGGGGAGCAGCAAUGCUUCCCCCAGCCCCUCCUCAUCCUCUGGCCCCGGGGAAGCUGGGCAGGAUGGAGAAAAGGAGGAGAACCCUCAAAGGUGGAAAGAAAGAAAUCCCCCUGGCAGCUUUUAACUGAGGAGGAGAAGGAGAGGGAACAAGAUGGGAGGAGAGGUUGUGAGCUGGAGAUAGCUGGCACUUGCAGCGAGUGAUGUGUGUGUACACAUGCCGGCUCCCCACCAGCCUGAUGAAAGGACCGGGAGCUCUCGAAGCCAAACUAAGGUGAGGAACCUGUGGCUGUCCCGGGGGUGGCAGUGGGGGAAGGCUGGUUUACUCCAGCGCAGCAGGGAUGCUCUGCCAGGAGCCGGGGUGGCCGGCUCUGCAGCGGUAACAGCUCGCUGAGGAGGGGCUGUGUUCCAGCAUCCCAGCCUGUGCAAUGAGAGGGAUGCUGGCCGGGCAGCUCUGCUGUCAGCCCCCAGAUCGGUGAUCCAGGGCGAUGCAUCGGCUAGGGAUGCAGCAUGGAUGGGGGUCUGCCUCCUCCCUGGAUCCCUGCGGGGUGCUGGGGCUGGUCUCCGCUGUGGUGGGGCUCCCUGGGUAUUCGGUGUAGCAAGCACAGCCCAGACACCAGCUGGGAAGUGGUGGCUUUGUGCUGGCCUGGGUGAGGAAGGGUCUCUGGUCCCUCCUGCCCCAGCAGCGAGGGGAUUUUUCCCCCUCCCAUGCAGGCAUGAAGCUCUCACUCCAGUUGCACAGCUCCCUUUGCCUUGCCCAGGGCUUCACUUGCACCCGCACCUGCAAAUUUCCAAGGGCUUCCUUGUCACCCCCAUGUUGCGUUUGGGAUUUGUAUUUAAUUCUUAUUAUUUCUUCAUAGGUUUGUCCCUGUCACUGCUGCUAUUCCCAGCCCGGCUUUCCAGCAGGUUUUGCUCUGCAGAGAGCUGCAGGUUGGCUAUGAAAUAUGACAAAGCGUUCAUUUAAAUGCACACCAUGAUGUCGGCAAGUCCAUUAGGAGAAUUAAUUUGAAUGGUUGGCAUUUAAUAAACAGCCUCGUCCCUCCUCUCCCCCUGCCGCCGCCAUCUCGGAAGGGUUAAAAAGAAACCACAUGUGGAUAUUGGAGGGAGAGGGGAGCAGGUAUCUGGGGCUGGGGGGCGGGGGGUGGGUGGGGGAUAAUAAAAGAGAGCUGGCGUUAUAAAAGGAAUUGCAGUUUGUUUUGUUCACAGUAAAAAAAAGCACAUGUGGAAGGGGCUGAGCCGAGCAGUUUGGGUUCACAGGGUGUUUGGUGCGUGGAGAAAAGAGGGGGAUGAAACAGUGAUGGAGCCGGGGAGGAGACGCUCCGGCCGGAGGGUCCCAGCCUGACUCCAAACACGCGGGGCUGGGGGAAGGCGAGGGGGUUCUGAGGACGUUUCUCCCCAUAUGGUGUGUAUUACAAGCUCCUUUCUAGUUGUAAAGAUUAAUUUAAAGCCUUUCUCACCUCCCCCCCAUCCCUCUUUCAUUGACAAAUGAACAUCUGGGCUGAAUGCUGCCCAGAUCCUAAUCAAAGCAUUUUUUCAGGGCCGUUGUCUGCCUUUAUGGCUAUCUGCUUUUCGGAUUCUCAGCAGUUUCAAUGCACUUGGCAAUUCAGCCUGCAAAUACCCCUCUCCAGGAUUUAUGAUUCGGGCUAAUGUGAUUUUUCUCUUUGCUUCUUGAUUCGUUUGUUUGGUUUAGUUUAACGGCAUUUUCUUCUCUGUGUAUAAGUUAGGGCACGAAGGGAUUUCCUCCCCCCUCCCCCCCCUUCCCUUCUUUGCUCUGGGUUAUUAACAAUUAGCAAAAAUGGCUUUCUUGGGGAGGCUACA
This is an RNA transcript of Falco peregrinus (peregrine falcon), 8670 nucleotides long. It is a transcript of the gene named F-box and leucine rich repeat protein 18, with no coding region annotated. The transcript has 7 exons. The record is from RefSeq and is a predicted model, not a curated record. NCBI's taxonomy places the organism in Eukaryota, Metazoa, Chordata, Aves, Falconiformes, Falconidae.